GGAGAGGUACCAAAGUUGGUCGAACGGGCCGCACUCGAAAUGCGGUAGGGGCGCAAGCUCCUCCAGGGUUCGAAUCCCUGCCUCUCCG
This 88-nucleotide transfer RNA is filed under the name bacterium. RNAcentral describes it as "tRNA-Ser". It matches the Rfam family "tRNA". From Rfam's summary of the family: Transfer RNA (tRNA) molecules are approximately 80 nucleotides in length. Their secondary structure includes four short double-helical elements and three loops (D, anti-codon, and T loops). Further hydrogen bonds mediate the characteristic L-shaped molecular structure. tRNAs have two regions of fundamental functional importance: the anti-codon, which is responsible for specific mRNA codon recognition, and the 3' end, to which the tRNAs corresponding amino acid is attached (by aminoacyl-tRNA synthetases). tRNAs cope with the degeneracy of the genetic code in two manners: having more than one tRNA (with a specific anti-codon) for a particular amino acid; and 'wobble' base-pairing, i.e. permitting non-standard base-pairing at the 3rd anti-codon position. The record is from RNAcentral.